AGCCAUGCAGUGAGCACAGAGCGAACUAUUCUUUCGCCUUUUACUAAAGAAUACCGCGUGCUCGCUACCCAAAGUGGCAUAUGCCUAUUUUUGGAGAUUUUCCCACAGGGACU
This 113-nucleotide small nuclear RNA is filed under the name Helianthus annuus (common sunflower). Its description in RNAcentral is "U5 spliceosomal RNA". It matches the Rfam family "U5 spliceosomal RNA". Rfam says of the family: U5 RNA is a component of both types of known spliceosome. The precise function of this molecule is unknown, though it is known that the 5' loop is required for splice site selection and p220 binding, and that both the 3' stem-loop and the Sm site are important for Sm protein binding and cap methylation. The record is from RNAcentral. Lineage: Eukaryota; Viridiplantae; Streptophyta; Magnoliopsida; Asterales; Asteraceae.